RNAcentral lists this ribosomal RNA (460 nucleotides) under uncultured bacterium. Its description in RNAcentral is "partial 16S ribosomal RNA". It matches the Rfam family "Bacterial small subunit ribosomal RNA", at positions 338 to 795 of the family's 1533-position model. The record is from RNAcentral.
CCUACGGGCGGCAGCAGUGAGGAAUAUUGGUCAAUGGACGAGAGUCUGAACCAGCCAAGUAGCGUGAAGGAUGACUGCCCUAUGGGUUGUAAACUUCUUUUAUAAAGGAAUAAAACGAGGCACGUGUGCCUUUUUGCAUGUACUUUAUGAAUAAGGAUCGGCUAACUCCGUGCCAGCAGCCGCGGUAAUACGGAGGAUCCGAGCGUUAUCCGGAUUUAUUGGGUUUAAAGGGAGCGUAGAUGGGUUGUUAAGUCAGUUGUGAAAGUUUGCGGCUCAACCGUAAAAUUGCAAUUGAUACUGGCAGUCUGGAGUACAGUUGAGGUAGGCGGAAUUCGGGGUGUAGCGGGAAAAUGCUUAGAUAGCACGAAGAACCCCGAUUGGGAAGGCAGCUUACUAAACUGUGACUGACAUUGAUGAUCGAAAGUGUGGGUAUCAAACAGGAUAAGAGACCCUGGUAGUC